GACGAACGCUGGCGGCGUGCUUAACACAUGCAAGUCGAACGGAAAGGCCCUGCUUUUGUGGGGUGCUCGAGUGGCGAACGGGUGAGUAACACGUGAGUAACCUGCCCUUGACUUUGGGAUAACUUCAGGAAACUGGGGCUAAUACCGGAUAGGAGCUCCUGCUGCAUGGUGGGGGUUGGAAAGUUUCGGCGGUUGGGGAUGGACUCGCGGCUUAUCAGCUUGUUGGUGGGGUAGUGGCUUACCAAGGCUUUGACGGGUAGCCGUCCUGAGAGGGUGACCGGCCACAUUGGGACAGAGAUACGGCCCAGACUCCUACGGGAGGCAGCAGUGGGGAAUAUUGCACAAUGGGCGGAAGCCUGAUGCAGCAACGCCGCGUGCGGGAUGACGGCCUUCGGGGUGUAAACCGCUUUCGCCUGUGACGAAGCGUGAGUGACGGUAAUGGGUAAAGAAGCACCGGCUAACUACGUG
RNAcentral lists this ribosomal RNA (468 nucleotides) under uncultured bacterium. Its description in RNAcentral is "partial 16S ribosomal RNA". It matches the Rfam family "Bacterial small subunit ribosomal RNA", at positions 28 to 507 of the family's 1533-position model. The record is from RNAcentral.